Molecule: long non-coding RNA, 1262 nt
Organism: Syzygium oleosum
Lineage: Eukaryota; Viridiplantae; Streptophyta; Magnoliopsida; Myrtales; Myrtaceae
Exons: 2
Source: RefSeq, a predicted model, not a curated record
UGCGCUCGUUAUCUCGGGUCCGAGACCGAGAGAACGCACGAAGGCGUCGUCUUCUUCCUCACCCUAGCGUCCGAGCAGCCUGAGCUCGCCGCUUCUGCCGAAAGCCAGCAAUGGCGCUUCUCGUCAUGCCCUGACGAUGAAGUAGCGAAGUUCUUCCACGAGGGCGAAGCUCUCAUGUCCGAGGUCACCAGUUUUUUUCGGAUCCCCAUGAUGGGUGUUGAUAGGACUUAUGUUUCCCUGGCGAAUCUUUUGGUCUGAGGGAUGUGCUUUGGAUGAUACAUUCGGGGGUUCAUUUGUCUGGGAGAGAUCCUUCUCUGUUGCCAAGUGAGAUGGACUCGGUUUUUUUUGCACUUCAAGCUCUUGCAAGGGGUACUUUCAUUUGUUAGAGCCUGCUUAUUUAGGCGGAUCUUUCCAUGCUUUCUUUUGUUAAAUUAAGUUCCAAUUUGAACCGUGCAUUUCCCGUAUGCAUAAUCGAGCCGUUUUUUAUGCUUUCUAUGUUUUUGUUUAGAGGGUGAAAUCAGCUGGAUCUUGAUGAGUUUUGGCUUCAACCAUGAUUCGCGUUCUUUUUUCUGAGGUGAGGUUUGGUGCUGCUAUUAGGUAUUGGGUACAUUUGCUAGAUUUUAUAUGAAUCAAUUAUUGUUGUCAAAUUGUGGAGCAUCUUAGAUAGCGCAGGGAGCGCAUGACGCUUCCUCUCCGAGUGAUGUGCUGCGUCCGGCUAUCACAGGCUCUUCAACAAGUAUUGUGCUAAAAUAGAUGCCGAUGGCAUUUCUUGUUCCUUCCAUGACUUCAUGGCUUGAUCUCACCUGACUUGUGCAGAUUGGCAUCUUUGUCUCUUGUUGAACAUGAAGAAUGUGAUGAUGUUGCAAAAAGGUUCCCUCCUUUGUUUCCUUUUCUCGAUAGACGUUGACACCAGCUCAAUGCUAGUCAUGUUAUUGUGAUUCUGGUGAUGUUAUAUGGCAACAGCAUUUCGGCUCACUCAAAGUUUCCUUCCAUUGUUCAUUGGCCAUGCUCAUCGGAUGCAUUGUCAUGAGGUGAUUAUCAGUCCGAACAUAGCAUUCUGCAGGAAUUGUCAAUCCAACCUGAAGGAAGCCUAAUGUAUUUCCAGCUGCCAUCCACUUUACAAGCAAGAAGUUUCAGUUUUGAUUAACUAGAAAAUUUACGAUAUCGCAUUUUGCAAUGUCUUCCUUUGAUGUUGUGAGCAAAAAUUUUCUUCCUUUGAUUGAAGAGUCGUGUGAAUGAUAUAUACGAUGCAUUCAAUUUGA